This 348-nucleotide long non-coding RNA is filed under the name Hordeum vulgare. RNAcentral's name for it is "long non-coding RNA (HVUL_LNC021137)". The record is from RNAcentral. Lineage: Eukaryota; Viridiplantae; Streptophyta; Magnoliopsida; Poales; Poaceae.
UGAAGCCCAGUACGGUGUACAUUGGGGCAACCUGGAUGAUCUCUGUCCCGGCCAAAAUUACUACAAUGUGGAAACUUGUAGGUUAGCAGUUGUACCUCCUCAUGUUCUGAAUUUGUGCAAGUUCUGAAUUUUGUGCAUUCUCUGAAUAUUGUUCAGUUUUGCAGGGACGGGACUAUGAAGAGUUACACAAUCCAGCCAAUCAUUCUCUGUGUAAUCUCAGAGGACACAAGAAGUGCCGUUUAACCAAAUCAAAAGAGAAGGUUGCAGAUUAUGCGUAUAUCACUCGAAGAGGAAAAACGUGAAUAUGCAACUUGUAAACAAAGAUUGCUUAUGUAGUUUUUGGUGAUU